Molecule: ribosomal RNA, 457 nt
Filed under: uncultured bacterium
Lineage: Bacteria
Description: bacterial SSU rRNA
Rfam family: Bacterial small subunit ribosomal RNA
Source: RNAcentral
UACGGAAGGCAGCAGUGGGGAAUAUUGCACAAUGGGCGAAAGCCUGAUGCAGCUAUGCCGCGUGUAUGAAGAAGGCCUUAGGGUUGUAAAGUACUUUCAUCGGGGAGGAAAAAACAAAACUAAUAAUUUUAUUUCUUGACGUUACCCGAAAAAGAAGCACCGGCUAACUCCGUGCCAGCAGCCGCGGUAAUACGGAGGGUGCUAGCGUUAAUCAGAAUUACUGGGCGUAAAGAGCACGUAGGUGGUUUUUUUAAGUCAGAUGUGAAAUCCCUGGGCUUAACCUGGAACUGCAUUUUGAAACUGAAAUACUAGAGUAUCGUAGAGGGAGGUAGAAUUCUAGGUGUAGCGGUGAAAUGCGUAGAUAUCUGGAGGAAUACCUGUGGCGAAAGCGGCCUCCUAAACGAAUACUGACACUGAGGUGCGGAAAGCGUGGGGAGCAAACAGGGAUUAGGAUACC